CCCUUAGAUGUUCUGGGCCGCACGCGCGCUACACUGACGAAUGCAACGAGCUUAUAACCUUGGCCGAAAGGUCUGGGUAAUCUCCAAAUUUCGUCGUGAUGGGGAUAGAUUAUUGCAAUUAUUAAUCUUCAACGAGGAAUGCCUAGUAAGCGCAAGUCAUCAGCUUGCGUUGAUUACGUCCCUGCCCUUUUUACACACCGCCCGUCGCUCCUACCGAUUGAAUGGUCCGGUGAAGCGUUCGGACCGUGGCCUUUGGACGGUUCGCCGUCUGUUGGCUGCGGGAAGUUCGUUAAACCUUAUCAUUUAGAGGAAGGAGAANUCGUAACA
RNAcentral lists this ribosomal RNA (327 nucleotides) under uncultured eukaryote. RNAcentral describes it as "partial 18S ribosomal RNA". It matches the Rfam family "Eukaryotic small subunit ribosomal RNA", at positions 1470 to 1796 of the family's 1831-position model. The record is from RNAcentral.